GCCCUUAGAGUUUGAUCCUGGCUCAGGAUGAACGCUGGCGGCGUGCUUAACACAUGCAAGUCGAGCGGAGAUGUUUAAAAGCUUGCUUUAAAACAUCUUAGCGGCGGACGGGUGAGUAACGUGUGGGUAACCUGCCUUAUACUGUGGAAUAAUCACUUGAAAAGGUGACUAAUACCGCAUGUGGUCUCCGGAGGGCAUCCUCUGGAGAAGAAAGGAUUUAUUCGGUAUAAGAUGGACCCGCAUCUGAUUAGCUAGUUGGUGAGAUAAUAGCCCACCAAGGCAACGAUCAGUAGCCGACCUGAGAGGGUGAUCGGCCACAUUGGGACUGAGACACGGCCCAAACUCCUACGGGAGGCAGCAGUGGGGAAUAUUGCACAAUGGGGGAAACCCUGAUGCAGCAACGCCGCGUGAAGGAAGAAGGGUUUCGGCUCGUAAACUUCUAUCAAUAGGGAUGAAAAAAAUGACAGUACCUAAAUAAGAAGCCCCGGCUAACUACGUGCCAGCAGCCGCGGUAAUACGUAGGGGGCAAGCGUUAUCCGGAAUUACUGGGUGUAAAGGGAGAGUAGGCGGCAUGGUAAGUUAGAUGUGAAAGCCUCGGGCUUAACCUGAGGAUUGCAUUUAAAACUAUCAAGCUAGAGUACAGGAGAGGAAAGCGGAAUUCCUAGUGUAGCGGUGAAAUGCGUAGAUAUUAGGAAGAACACCAGUGGCGAAGGCGGCUUUCUGGACUGAAACUGACGCUGAGGCUCGAAAGCGUGGGGAGCGAACAGGAUUAGAUACCCUGGUAGUCCACGCCGUAAACGAUGAGUGCUAGGUGUCGGGGAGGAAUCCUCGGUGCCGCAGCAAACGCAAUAAGCACUCCACCUGGGGAGUACGAUCGCAAGAUUGAAACUCAAAGGAAUUGACGGGGGCCCGCACAAGCGGUGGAGCAUGUGGUUUAAUUCGAAGCAACGCGAAGAACCUUACCAAGGCUUGACAUCCCGAUGACCGCAUUAGAGAUAAUGCUUUUCUUCGGAACAUCGGUGACAGGUGGUGCAUGGUUGUCGUCAGCUCGUGUCGUGAGAUGUUGGGUUAAGUCCCGCAACGAGCGCAACCCCUAUCUUCAGUAGCCAUCAUUAAGUUGGGCACUCUGGAGAGACUGCCGUGGAUAACACGGAGGAAGGUGGGGAUGACGUCAAAUCAUCAUGCCCCUUAUGUCUUGGGCUACACACGUGCUACAAUGGCUGGUACAGAGGGAAGCAAGAUAGUGAUAUUGAGCAAAUCUCAAAAAACCAGUCCCAGUUCGGAUUGUAGUCUGCAACUCGACUACAUGAAGCUGGAAUCGCUAGUAAUCGCGAAUCAGAAUGUCGCGGUGAAUACGUUCCCGGGCCUUGUACACACCGCCCGUCACACCAUGGGAGUUGGAAGCACCCGAAGUCGAUGACCCAACCGCAAGGAAGGAGUCGCCGAAGGUGAAGCCAGUGACUGGGGUGAAGUCGUAACAAGGUAACCGUAAAGGGC
Molecule: ribosomal RNA, 1497 nt
Filed under: uncultured Bacillota bacterium
Lineage: Bacteria; Bacillati; Bacillota
Description: bacterial SSU rRNA
Rfam family: Bacterial small subunit ribosomal RNA
Source: RNAcentral